This 802-nucleotide ribosomal RNA is filed under the name uncultured Streptococcus sp. RNAcentral describes it as "bacterial SSU rRNA". It matches the Rfam family "Bacterial small subunit ribosomal RNA", at positions 63 to 849 of the family's 1533-position model. Lineage: Bacteria; Bacillati; Bacillota; Bacilli; Lactobacillales; Streptococcaceae. The record is from RNAcentral.
AGAACGCUGAAGAGAGGAGCUUGCUCUUCUUGGAUGAGUUGCGAACGGGUGAGUAACGCGUAGGUAACCUGCCUUGUAGCGGGGGAUAACUAUUGGAAACGAUAGCUAAUACCGCAUAACAAUGAAUGACACAUGUCAUUUAUUUGAAAGGGGCAAUUGCUCCACUACAAGAUGGACCUGCGUUGUAUUAGCUAGUAGGUGAGGUAACGGCUCACCUAGGCGACGAUACAUAGCCGACCUGAGAGGGUGAUCGGCCACACUGGGACUGAGACACGGCCCAGACUCCUACGGGAGGCAGCAGUAGGGAAUCUUCGGCAAUGGGGGCAACCUGACCGAGCAACGCGCGUGAGUGAAGAAGGUUUUCGGAUCGUAAAGCUCUGUUGUGAGUCAAGAACGAGUGUGAGAGUGGAAAGUUCACACUGUGACGGUAGCUUACCAGAAAGGGACGGCUAACUACGUGCCAGCGGCCGCGGUAAUACGUAGGUCCCGAGCGUUGUCCGGAUUUAUUGGGCGUAAAGCGAGCGCAGGCGGUUUGAUAAGUCUGAAGUUAAAGGCUGUGGCUCAACCAUAGUUCGCUUUGGAAACUGUCAAACUUGAGUGCAGAAGGGGAGAGUGGAAUUCCAUGUGUAGCGGUGAAAUGCGUAGAUAUAUGGAGGAACACCGGUGGCGAAAGCGGCUCUCUGGUCUGUAACUGACGCUGAGGCUCGAAAGCGUGGGGAGCGAACAGGAUUAGAUACCCUGGUAGUCCACGCCGUAAACGAUGAGUGCUAGGUGUUGGAUCCUUUCCGGGAUUCAGUGCCGC